AUUUUUCUCGAAUUGUCAAUCUUUUUUAAACCGAACCAUUUCGUGUGUGUGUCGGUAUACCUAGUGAAUUCAAUAAAACAUCAUUAAUUAAAACGAAGGUUUUCGCGCGUUUUAAUCACUCACGUACGAGACCCUGAAGAUAUUGGCACCCGCCAACCAUUUCAGGCUUAGUCGGGUCCUUCCGCCCCUCCACAAACAAUAAUAGUGUGCAUUUUUUCCAUAUAAGGACAUUGUAGUCUAUUAACAUAAACCAAAUUUAUCGUAAAAUAUGACUUAUAGUUUAUUUAAAUUAUUUUGCUUGCAUUUUAACAUAGAAUAAAUGUCAUUAAUUUGAUAAAGUGUUGAUAGAUUUAUAUGAAUACAGUGCGUUAAUUUUUCGGAAUUAUAUUAUAGCAUGAUUAUCAUUGAUUUUCUGUGUUUUUUCUAUGCACUUGUAUGAUUAACAAUGCGAAAGAUUCAGGAUACCUUCGGGACCCGUCUUGAAACACGGACCAAGGAGUCUAACAUAUGUGCAAGUUAUUGGGAUAUAAACCUAAUAGCAUAAUUAACUUGACUAAUAAUGGGAUUACUUUUUUAACUAUGUAUAGAUUAUGUUAUGUAUAAUGAUAUUUAUAUUAUUCAUACCUCUAACUGGAACGUACCUUGAGCAUAAAUGCUGUGACCCGAAAGAUGGUGAACUAUACUUGAUCAGAUUGAAGUCAGGGGAAACCCUGAUGGAAGACCGAAACAGUUCUGACGUGCAAAUCGAUUGUCAGAAUUGAGCAUAGGGGCGAAAGACCAAUCGAACCAUCUAGUAGCCAACUUCCUUCCGAAGUUUCCCUCAGGAUAGCUGGUUGCAUUUAAAUGUUAUAUAAAAUAAUCUUAUCUGGUAAAGCGAAUGAUUAGAGGCCUUAGGGUCGAAACGAUCUUAACCUAUUCUCAAACUUUAAAUGAGUAAGAACCUUAACUUUCUUGAUAUGAAGUUUAAGGUUAUGAUAUAUUGUGCCCAGUGGGCCACUUUUGGUAAGCAGAACUGGCGCUGUGGGAUGAACCAAACGUAAUGUUACGGUGCCCAAAUUAACAACUCAUACAGAAACCAUAUAAGGCGUUGUUUGCUUAAAACAGCAGGACGGUGAUCAUGGAAGUCGAAAUCCGCUAAGGAGUGUGUAACAACUCACCUGCCGAAGCAACUAGCCCUUAAAAUGGAUGGCGCUUAAGUUGUAUACCUAUAAAUUACCGCUAAAGUAGAUGAUUUAUAUUAUUUAUAAUAUAAAUUUUGAAACUUUAGUGAGUAGGAAGGUACAAUGGUGUGCUUAGAAGUGUUUGGGUAAGCCUGCAUGGAGCCGCCAUUGGUACAGAUCUUGGUGGUAGUAGCAAAUAAUCGAAUGAGACCUUGGAGGACUGAAGUGGAGAAGGGUUUCGUGUGAACAGUGGUUGAUCACGAGUUAGUCGGUCCUAAGUUCAAGGCGAAAGCCGAAAAUUUUCAAGUUUCAAAAAUGUCAAAGGAAAUAAUAAAUAAUAAAACACUUGAAUAAUUUUGAACGAAAGGGAAUACGGUUUCAAUUCCGUAACCUGUUGAGUAUCCGUUUGUUAUUAAAUAUGGGCUUCGUGCUCAUCCUGGCAACAGGAACGACCAUAAAGAAGCCGUCGAGAGGUAUCGGAAGAGUUUUCUUUUCUGUUUUAUAGCCGUACUACCAUGGAAGUCUUUCACAGAGAGAUAUGGUAGAUGGGCUAGAAGAGUAUGACAUACACUAUUGUGUCGAUAUUUUCUCCUCGUACCUUGAAAAUUUAUGGUGGGGAUACGCAAACUUCUCAACAGGCCGUACCAAUAUCCGCAGCUGGUCUCCAAGGUGAAGAGUCUCUAGUCGAUAGAAUAAUGUAGGUAAGGGAAGUCGGCAAAUUAGAUCCGUAACUACGGGAUAAGGAUUGGCUCUGAAGAUUGAGAUAGUCGGGCUUGAUUGGGAAACAAUAACAUGGUUUAUGUGCUCGUUCUGGGUAAAUAGAGUUUCGAUCAUUUAUGAUAGUUAUUUGUUCCCGGAUAGUUAGUUACGUUGCCAAUUGUGGAACUUUCUUGCUAAAAUUUUUAAGAAUACUAAUUUUUAAUUAGUUCUUUUAAAUAAUAACGAUUAUCAAUUAACAAUCAAUUAAGGACUGGCACGGACUUGGGAAAUCCAACUGUCUAAUUAAAACAAAGCAUUGUGAUGGCCCUAGCGGGUGAUGACACAAUGUGAUUUCUGCCCAGUGCUCUGAAUGUCAAAGUGAAGAAAUUCAAGUAAGCGCAGGUCAACGGCGGGAGUAACUAUGGCUCUCUUUCACAUCUUGCAAAAAUGCUAUCGUACGCACGGGAGCGGGGACUUGAACGGAAAGGCUGCGUUGUCCAUAUCGAACCAAGUCUGCAAUGCGACUCGGGCUUAAAUAAACCGGAGGACCUGGUGGGAAUCCGACAGAAUCACAUUUAUGUGAUAGACGUUUAGAUUGUGACAGGCGGACAUUCCUUAGACCAAGCGCACCAGCGCAAGGUCGAAAGGUAUGACAGAGCUGACAUAAGAUCACAAAUGCGGCGAUUUUUCGGAGUGACAGGUGAAAUCGAGUUUCAUUUCGUUACACUCAACUGGAGAGGAAUCUGGAGCGGUCAGUCGGUAAAACGAUUGAUUGCAAUAGAUCUCCUCAUCGCUGAAGAUACCAAACUCAUCAGCGUCAGAGCAGUAAAUGGCGGAGUGACGGCUUUCAAAUAUUUCAUGUAUUGUGCUGGGUAUACUCGAAGCUAGAUGUACUAACCUCUAGUUUCUCUUAUACUUUUGCCGUCUACCUUGGCAUUCUAUCUAAAAAGGUACAAACAUCGCAUUGUCAAAAAGAGGUCGUUUUAGUGCGUAGGCGCUGUGGGACUUCAUUGUCCCGAUGAUGCAGCGAAUCGUGCAUACGAGAUUGUCCAGUAGUUGGUUGCUCGUAUCUUUAGAAGAUAGCCAAAUGACUCGUCAUCUAAUUAGU
Molecule: ribosomal RNA, 2967 nt
Filed under: Drosophila willistoni
Lineage: Eukaryota; Metazoa; Arthropoda; Insecta; Diptera; Drosophilidae
Description: eukaryotic LSU rRNA
Rfam family: Eukaryotic large subunit ribosomal RNA
Source: RNAcentral